This 465-nucleotide ribosomal RNA is filed under the name uncultured bacterium. RNAcentral describes it as "bacterial SSU rRNA". It matches the Rfam family "Bacterial small subunit ribosomal RNA", at positions 338 to 795 of the family's 1533-position model. The record is from RNAcentral.
CCUACGGGGCGCACCAGUGGGGAAUAUUGCACAAUGGGCGCAAGCCUGAUGCAGCCAUGCCGCGUGUAUGAAGAAGGCCUUCGGGUUGUAAAGUACUUUCAGUCGGGAGGAAGGUGGUGAGCUUAAUACGCUCAUCAAUUGACGUUACCGGCAGAAGAAGCACCGGCUAACUCCGUGCCAGCAGCCGCGGGAAUACGGAGGGUGCAAGCGUUAAUCGGAAUUACUGGGCGUAAAGCGCACGCGGGCGGUUGAUUGAGUCAGAUGUGAAAUCCCCGGGCUUAACCCGGGAAUUGCAUCUGAUACUGGUCAGCUAGAGUCUUGUAGAGGGGGGUAGAAUUCCAUGUGUAGCGGUGAAAUGCGUAGAGAAGUGGAGGAAUACCGGUGGCGAAGGCGGCCCCCUGGACAAAGACUGACGCUCAGGUGCGAAAGCGUGGGGAGCAAACAGGAUUAGAUACCCUGGUAGUC